This 6151-nucleotide long non-coding RNA is filed under the name Phaseolus vulgaris (common bean). Its description in RNAcentral is "long non-coding RNA (PVUL_LNC003381)". Lineage: Eukaryota; Viridiplantae; Streptophyta; Magnoliopsida; Fabales; Fabaceae. The record is from RNAcentral.
UAAUAAACAUCAUCAGUUUAAGUAUAACAUGUGCUGCUCUUGUUUGGAAAAUGGCAAUUAUAGAUUUACCGUUUGCAACUAAGAAAAUUGUAAUCGAAAAGGUACAAAGAUAUUGUGGAGAAUUAGAACCUAUUGAAGUGGCAGACAAAUUGAAAUAAGUGUAUUACAGUAAAUGAAGAUGAAUGAAUGCUUUAAUGUAGCGCACGUAAUCGUAAUGAAGAAAGAGAGGUUUUUAUGAACCUUAAUGGUAGAGAAAAAUAAAUAUAAAAGAAACUUUUAUUCACUUGUAUAUUAGAGAGUAAAAUACAUGGUAUAUAUAUAAGAAAAAGAUUAAAACCUAGCUGAAACAGAAAAAUAAAGUUUGAGUCAAACAAACAAAGUCCAAUAAUUUAAAAUAAAAAAUUAAAUAUAUUAACAACGUCUAAUUUUUGAACUUGUGACUCAGUCUUAUGAUCGAACAUUCAGUUCUCGGAUGUGAGCAAUCUUUCCCCAGUCUUCGCCAUCUGGAUUCUGACAACGUUCCUUCAGCAAUGGACAACCCCAGAUUGUAAGAGAAGAAAUGGAUUUGGGGAGAUCCUCUGCUGGUAAGCAUUGAAGGCUGGGACAUUCAGAAAGUGUGAGAGAGGACAGGUGGCAAAGACCCUUGUAGUGCAUCUUUUUAAGAUUUGGACAACAAUGGAUUUGUAGAAAGGUGAGAGAGCAUGGCAGCAAAACUUCAUCGGGAAAACUCCACGUCCAAAUUAUAAAUAAACAAGGUUUCAAGACAUGUGUUGGGAUCCAAGGUCUCUAUCAAGGAGGCGAUAAGUUUUAAACAUGAAAGAGACAUAUUUUUAAUAUUUAAUGGCAAACCUCCAUCUGGAAACAUCUCCACUUGUGGACACUUAGUUAUCUUCAGGCUGGUAAGGGAUGGAAACAAGAUUUGCAUUGGUUUGGGAAACAUGAAUGAUUUAAAUUGAAGGCAAUCAUGAAUAUCUAGAUACAUGAGAUGGUUAUGAGCGUACUCCUGUGAAAUUAUUCUUAGGUUUUGGCAGCUUCUCAUUUCAAGAGAACGCAGCUUUGGAAAGAAAUCUACCUGAAAGAUUGUAAGAGAGUCGAAGUCUCCAUCGAUAUGCAGGGUUUCAAGCGGCGAUGUGUCCAUACUGUUUCCACUAAUUGUGAGCUCAUCACUAACAAUUAGUUUCUUUAAAUGAGUACCUUUCAGUUUUGGACAAAUAUACACAUAAAGCUCUUGAAGACGUGGAAAAGACGUAGUUUUACACUCCCAUUCUUCCCAUUCUGAUGGCAGCCUGUAACUAGGCUAAACUCCAGAUUAAGAAAAUUCAAAAAAAAGGAGAAAGAACUGAUGCAAGUUUUCUGUGUAUAUCCUCUUAAUGAAAAUUACAAGUAUUUAAAUAUGCAGAAUUCGUAACUAACCACUAAUCCUAUGAUGACCACUCCACUGAAACAACUCCUAACUGAUAGCCAUGUUCUAACCACUAAUACCCAUGAUGCUAAAAACAAAGAAAAUGCAGUAACCAACAAAUGAGGAAAAUAUGGUUGAAUUAGUCCAACAGCUUUAACGGCUUCUUCAGAGUCCUCUUGGGUCGAGGUGGCGCCCGUUGACCUGGUUCCUUGGCCUUUUGGAUCGCAUCAACUGCCCGCCCCCCCCCCCCCCCCUUUAGAAUCAGCUCGUCCUCGAGCUCAACAGGGAAAUUCGGAAAACGGAGGCAGAGUUCUUCAAACGGUUCCCAAGUUGCGGCCGUAAUAUCCUGAUUUUUCCAAGCAACAAGGACUUCUAUUUUCCCAAGUUUGUGACGAGAAUCCAGUACGUGGCUUGGUUGAGGCUCAGGAACAUCGUCUGCAAAGAACGAUGGUAAAGGGACUGGAUUGGGAUUCCCCUUGGCUUUACAAAGUAAUGAAACAUGGAAAACAUUGUUUAUCUUUGCGUUUUUGGGGAAGCUGAAGUCGAUACGCCACAUUUCCAAUGCGCUCAAGUAUCUGAAAUGGCCCAAAAAACCGUUUGGAGAGUUUGUGACUGCGGCGAUGCUGUACGGAUGUCUGGCGAUAGUGCUGCAGCUUGAGAAAGACCAUGUCGCCGACUUGGAAUUGUUUGUCCUGCCGAUGCACAUUUGCCAAACUAACCAUGCGUUGUUGUGCUUUUCUCAAGUUAGCUUUGACAAUCGACCGAAGCCGCUGUAAUUUCGAGAUUGUUUCAUCCACUGACGGCAUGGGAGAGUCUCCGGGUCGGUAACGGAUAACGUCUGGAAUGGGCUGUCCAUACAAGGCCUGAAUGGGACUCAUGUUAAUAGAGGAAUGGUACGAUGUGUUGUACCAAUAUUCCGCUAAAUAUAAGUACCGAUGCCAAUACUUCGGUUCAUCACCUGCAAAACAACGCAAAUAAGAUUGUAAACAUCGGUUAACAACUUCGGUUUGUCCGUCGGUUUGAGGAUGAUAGGCUGUGGAAAACUGGAGUUUGGUGCCAAUUUGUUUAAACAGUUCCUUCCAAAUGUUGCUGAGAAAAAGCGGAUCCCGAUCAGUGACAAUACUCCGCGGCAUACCGUGUAAUCGGUAGAUGUUUUGCAAGAACAAGGUGGCUAACAGCACAGCUCCAAAGUUGGGCGGAAGAGGAAUGAAGUGAGCGAAUUUGGUGAAUCGAUCUAUUAUCACCCAAAUGGCGGUUUUGCCUUGUGACAACGGUAAGUGAGUAAUGAAAUCCAUCGACACAUCUUGCCAAGCAUUCGCGGGAAUGGGCAACGGCUGUAAAAGGCCAUACGACUUAUGGGUAGGGUAGUUAACUUGUUGGCAAAUGUGGCAUUGUUGUAUGAAAGAGGUAACCUCUGAUUUGAGUUUUGGCCAAGCGAAAGUGGAUGCCAAUCGAUUGAUCGUGGCCCGGAUGCCCGAAUGACCGCGGGUUGGGGAAUUAUGAAAUUCCUGGAGUAGCAAGGAUCGAAGAGCUGGCUGGAAAGGGAUAAAUAAUUUGCUUGAGUGAAAAAGCAACCCGUCCUUAAGGGUAAAACCCGAAGAGUUGGACAAGCAGCGUUGGACUAAGUGCUUCCCCUCAGCUGUCACAUAGAACUUCCUUAAUUCGACAGUCCAUUUUGGGUCCGAGAAGGAAACGGCCAGAAUCUCCACAGUGGGAAUUCGGCUUAGUGCAUCCGCGACUGCGUUUUCUUUGCCCGGUUUGUAGCGAAUUUCAAAGUCAUACCCGAUAAGUUUUGUGGCCCAUUUGUAUUGCUCUGGGGUUUGGACUACUUGUGUCAGCAGAUGUUUGAGACUUUGCUGGUCGGUGUAGAUGCAGAAUUUGCGACCGAGGAGGUACUGCCUCCACUUUUUGACUGCUUCAGUUACAACAUAUAACUCUCGAACAUAAGCGGAGGCCAGCUGCAUUUUGGGGCAUAAUUUCUUGCUAAAAAAGGCAAUGGGGCGCUCCAUUUGGGAUAAGACAGCCCUAACGGUCACCGUGGAAGCGUCGGUGGUGAUGUCGAAUGGUUCUGAAAAAUUUGGGAGUGAUAGAGAGACCAACGAAACCAUGGCUGAUUUCAAAGCACUGAAGGUUGCCUCACUUUUAGUUGACCAUUGAAAAACUUGGCGCUUAAGGAGAUCCGUUAACGGAGCUGCGAGCCGAGCAUAAUGUUGCACGAACCGGCGGUAGUAGCCCGUCAAGCCUAGAAAACCACGCAAGGUGGGGAGAUUGUGAGGGGUUGGCCAGGCUUGAAUAGCCUGAAGUUUGUCCGGAUCAGCUUCCACACCAUGGGCAGAUAUGAUGUCACCCAAAUAUGCAAUGGAUGGCACUGCAAAAGUGCAUUUUGAUGCCUUAGCAAGGAACGGGUGUUGUGAAAGUGUCUCAAACACUUGCCGUAGGUGGAGAUAAUGUUCUUCGGUGGAACGGCUGUAGACAAGAAUAUCAUCAAAGAACACCAGCACAUGACGUCGCAAUCUCGCUCUGAAAAUGUCGUUCAUUGUGGCCUGGAAUGUGGAAGGGGCAUUUGACAACCCAAAUGGCUUAACCAAGAACUCAUAAUGACCAUCGAUAGUUCGAAAAGCCGUUUUGUGUGUAUCUUUCGCUGCAACCCUGAUUUGGUGAUAACCUGUGGUAAGGUCGAUUUUGGAGAACACUGUUGCGCCAUGUAACUCAUCAAGGAGCUCAUCCACCGUUGGAAUCGGAAAGCGAUCUUUGACAGUAAUGGCAUUUAAUGCUCUGUAAUCGACGCAAAAACGCCAAGAUCCAUCCUUUUUCUGAACCAACAAAACUGGUGACGAAAACGGGCUCUGGCUUGGUUUGAUAAUCCCGUCUCGGAGCAUAUCAGCAAUCAAUUGGGACAUAAUCUGCUUCUGGUAGUGUGGGUAACGGUAAGGGCGGACGCUUAUAUGGUUGGAAGAUGGGAAAGUGGGGAUGUGGUGGUUGUGUGAUCGAACUGGGGGUAGGUGUGUGGGCAUAGGCGUGGAGCAAUUGUUGGAAAGCGGGAGCAUCGUGUGUUGGAAUUUCUGGUGAAUUGAGGGAUUGCUGGUCGGAGACGGAAAAAUAGAGAGCGUGGAAGGAGGCAACACUGUGUUUCGAGAUUAGGGUGUGUAAGGAGGCGGGGGAUACCUGGGUCGAUAGAGGUUCGCCCCGUAGGGUAAUAGCUUUUGGGCCCACAUUGAAAGUGAGUUGGGGAAUUGCAAAAUCCGCUAAGACUGGGCCAAGAGUUUGAAGCCAGGCGAGUCCUAGGAUAAUGUCCGCCCCGGCUACAGGUAAAACAAAUACCGGAAUGUUGAAGCUAGCAUCCUGUAUAGCUAGGGAAAUGGAAGGGCAAACGGCUUGACAUUUGAGGGAUUCACCGUUUCCCACCAUGACAGCAAACUCGGGAAUGUCUUGUUUGGGUAAGUUGAGGAAGGAGACGAUGCGUGGUUGUAUGAUAUUGUGGGUGCUACCCGAGUCAAUUAAGACUUGGACAGGUUUGUUGUUGAUGAAACCUGUGACACGCAGGGCUUGGGCCGAAGAGAGGCCAAAGAAGGCAGCCGAUGAAAGGGCGAAAAACUGGUUAGGGUUGGUGGGUUGGAGGGUGGCAGGGGUGGGAAAAUUUUCGGUAGAGUUUGUGUUGACCUCAUCGUGAUCGAAUGGUUCAUUAUCCGCAAUUAGCAGAAAUUGAGGCGGAUUGCAUUUGUGACCUGGGUAAUAUCGCUCAGGACAGCGAAAGCAUAAUCCGUCGCUACGUCGUUUUUGUAAGGCUUCUGGUGUCAAUUUGGUGAAUGGAAGUUGAGGUUUAGGGGUGGUUAAAAGUGGAGGGUUCCCUGGCUUUGGGGAAUUGGUGGAAUGGGUGAAUGUGGCGGAAGUUGUAGUAGGUGAAAUAAUUUUCAGCCUGGAAAAUCCAAUCUAACGGAUUGGAGCCAUCAAACAAGGGAAGGGUGAUUUUUGGAGGAUGUGGGUUUGGGUUGGUGGAAGUAGAGGAUUCAGCAUGAUGGAAGAUGGGUUUGUGAGGUUCAGGUUUGUUCGGGUCUGUCAGCUGGGCUAUGUGAUUAACGACGCGGGCUGUGGUCUCAGUUUGGGUGUCAAGUUUUGCAUUAAGGUUGGAGGUAGCUUGGACGAGGUGUAGAAGUUGGGUGUUGAUGUCGGAAGUGGUGAGAACAGUUUGGGUUGUAACUUGUAUGAGUUGGGCGAAUUGGUCGGUUAGGGAAGGUGGGGGUUCGUCGGUUGUGGAAGUGUCUUUUCGGGGAGGCAUUGUGUCGAAGUGAAAGCACCAAAUGAUAGCAGCCUGUAAGUAGCCUAAACUCCAGAUUAAGAAAAUUCAAAAAAAAAGGAGAAAGAACUGAUGCAAGUUUUCUGUGUAUAUCCUCUUAAUGAAAAUUACAAGUAUUUAAAUAUGCAGAAUUCGUAACUAACCACUAAUCCUAUGAUGACCACUCCACUGAAACAACUCCUAACUGAUAGCCAUGUUCUAACCACUAAUACCCAUGAUGCUAAAAACAAAGAAAAUGCAGUAACAACCAAAUGAGGAAAAUAUGGUGGAAUUAGUCCAACAGCUUUAACGGCUUCUUCAGAGUCCUCUUGGGUCGAGGUGGCGCCCGUUGACCUGGUUCCUUGGCCUUUUGGAUCGCAUCACAUUCCUUCAUAUUGUGGAAUUCCAAGCUCUCCAAGGAUGCAAAUGAAGAGUUGCUCCCAUAAAAUUCAGCACCAAUGCUCACUAUUCCAUCC